This 253-nucleotide ribosomal RNA is filed under the name uncultured bacterium. Its description in RNAcentral is "partial 16S ribosomal RNA". It matches the Rfam family "Bacterial small subunit ribosomal RNA", at positions 524 to 776 of the family's 1533-position model. The record is from RNAcentral.
UACAUGGGGUGCAAACGUUGCUCGGAAUUAUUGGGCGUAAAGCGCACGUAGGCGGUUUGUUAAGUCGGAUGUGAAAUCCCUCGGCUCAACUGAGGAAGUGCAUCCGAAACUGGCAAGCUUGAGUACGAAAGAGGGUCGCGGAAUUCCCGGUGUAGAGGUGAAAUUCGUAGAUAUCGGGAGGGACACCGGUGGCGAAGGCGGCGACCUGGGUCGAUACUGACGCUGAGGUGCGAAAGCGUGGGGAGCAAACAGG